Molecule: ribosomal RNA, 503 nt
Filed under: uncultured bacterium
Lineage: Bacteria
Description: partial 16S ribosomal RNA
Rfam family: Bacterial small subunit ribosomal RNA
Source: RNAcentral
AACGAACGCUGGCGGCGUGUUUAAGACAUGCAAGUCGCACGGGAUAAGACAUGUAGUAAUACUUGUUUUAUUUAGUGGCGCACGGGUGAGUAACACGUGAAUUACAUGCCCUAUAGUGGGGAAUAGCCCAGGGAAACUUGGAUUAAUACCCCAUGGUAUCGAAAGAUUAAAGGUGGCCGCAAGGCUGUCGCUAUAGGAUUGGUUCGCGCCCUAUCAGCUGGUUGGUGAGGUAACGGCUCACCAAGGCAAUGACGGGUACCUGGUCUGAGAGGACGAUCAGGCACACUGGAACUGAGACACGGUCCAGACACCUACGGGUGGCAGCAGUCGAGAAUAUUUCACAAUGGGGGCAACCCUGAUGGUGCAACGCCGCGUGGAGGAUGACGGUCUUCGGAUUGUAAACUCCUGUCAUCUGGGAGAAAGACCUGACGGUAAAUAGCCGGCAGGGUUGAUAGUACCAGAAGAGGAAGGGACGGCUAACUUCGUGCCAGCCGCCGCGGUAA